This 1382-nucleotide ribosomal RNA is filed under the name Salmonella enterica subsp. enterica serovar Typhimurium. Its description in RNAcentral is "bacterial LSU rRNA". It matches the Rfam family "Bacterial large subunit ribosomal RNA", at positions 1 to 1327 of the family's 2925-position model. The record is from RNAcentral. Lineage: Bacteria; Pseudomonadati; Pseudomonadota; Gammaproteobacteria; Enterobacterales; Enterobacteriaceae.
GGGUUGUGAGGUUAAGCGACUAAGCGUACACGGUGGAUGCCCUGGCAGUCAGAGGCGAUGAAGGGCGUGCUAAUCUGCGAUAAGCGCCGGUAAGGUGAUAUGAACCGUUAUAACCGGCGAUACCCGAAUGGGGAAACCCAGUGUGAUUCGUCACACUAUCAUUAACUGAAUCCAUAGGUUAAUGAGGCGAACCGGGGGAACUGAAACAUCUAAGUACCCCGAGGAAAAGAAAUCAACCGAGAUUCCCCCAGUAGCGGCGAGCGAACGGGGAGGAGCCCAGAGCCUGAAUCAGCAUGUGUGUUAGUGGAAGCGUCUGGAAAGGUGCGCGAUACAGGGUGACAGCCCCGUACACAAAAGCGCAUGUGCUGUGAGCUCGAUGAGUAGGGCGGGACACGUGGUAUCCUGUCUGAAUAUGGGGGGACCAUCCUCCAAGGCUAAAUACUCCUGACUGACCGAUAGUGAACCAGUACCGUGAGGGAAAGGCGAAAAGAACCCCGGCGAGGGGAGUGAAAAAGAACCUGAAACCGUGUACGUACAAGCAGUGGGAGCACAGGUUUACCUGUGUGACUGCGUACCUUUUGUAUAAUGGGUCAGCGACUUAUAUUCUGUAGCAAGGUUAACCGUAUAGGGGAGCCGGAGGGAAACCGAGUCUUAAUUGGGCGUUAAGUUGCAGGGUAUAGACCCGAAACCCGGUGAUCUAGCCAUGGGCAGGUUGAAGGUUGGGUAACACUAACUGGAGGACCGAACCGACUAAUGUUGAAAAAUUAGCGGAUGACCUGUGGCUGGGGGUGAAAGGCCAAUCAAACCGGGAGAUAGCUGGUUCUCCCCGAAAGCUAUUUAGGUAGCGCCUCGUGAAUUCAUCUCCGGGGGUAGAGCACUGUUUCGGCUAGGGGGCCAUCCCGGCUUACCAACCCGAUGCAAACUGCGAAUACCGGAGAAUGUUAUCACGGGAGACACACGGCGGGUGCUAACGUCCGUCGUGAAGAGGGAAACAACCCAGACCGCCAGCUAAGGUCCCAAAGUCAUGGUUAAGUGGGAAACGAUGUGGGAAGGCCCAGACAGCCAGGAUGUUGGCUUAGAAGCAGCCAUCAUUUAAAGAAAGCGUAAUAGCUCACUGGUCGAGUCGGCCUGCGCGGAAGAUGUAACGGGGCUAAACCAUGCACCGAAGCUGCGGCAGCGAACGUAUCACCCAAGACAACUUUACGGAGUUGACGAUUGACGGAGCGAAGCGACGUCAAAGCGUUCAUUAAAGUCGAGUUGGCUUAGGGAUACGUUCGUUGGGUAGGGGAGCGUUCUGUAAGCCUGUGAAGGUGUGUCGUGAGGCAUGCUGGAGGUAUCAGAAGUGCGAAUGCUGACAUAAGUAACGAUAAAGCGGGUGAAAA